Molecule: transfer RNA, 74 nt
Filed under: Elusimicrobia bacterium CG06_land_8_20_14_3_00_38_11
Lineage: Bacteria; Pseudomonadati; Elusimicrobiota
Description: tRNA-Arg
Rfam family: tRNA
About the family: Transfer RNA (tRNA) molecules are approximately 80 nucleotides in length.
Source: RNAcentral
GCCCCCGUAGCUCAAAUGGAUAGAGCAUCGGUUUCCUAAACCGGUUGUUGUGAGUUCAAAUCUCGCCGGGGGCA